RNAcentral lists this ribosomal RNA (253 nucleotides) under uncultured bacterium. Its description in RNAcentral is "partial 16S ribosomal RNA". It matches the Rfam family "Bacterial small subunit ribosomal RNA", at positions 524 to 776 of the family's 1533-position model. The record is from RNAcentral.
UACAGAGGUCCCGAGCGUUGUUCGGAUUCACUGGGCGUAAAGGGUGCGUAGGUGGUGAGGUAAGUCGGAUGUGAAAUCUCCAAGCUCAACUUGGAAACUGCAUUGGAAACUACCUUGCUAGAGGAUUUGAGGGGGGAUUGGAAUACCUGGUGUAGCAGUGAAAUGCGUAGAUAUCAAGUGGAACACCAGUGGCGAAGGCGAAUCCCUGGAAAAUACCUGACACUGAGGCACGAAAGCUAGGGGAGCAAACAGG